AUAAAAAGUGUUUCAUGCGUUUAAACGAUGGGUUUUGAAGGAAGGAGCCAUUCCGAGAUAUUUCCUGACACCCAAUGAAACUUCCCGACAACCAUUACAAAGCAUUUGCAAUGUGAAUAGGAGAAACAAUUCAAUAGCAAACCCUACUGUCGAUGAAAAGUGCAGGAAGC
Daphnia magna is the source of this 170-nucleotide long non-coding RNA. RefSeq lists it as uncharacterized. The transcript is spliced from 3 exons. The record is from RefSeq and is a predicted model, not a curated record. NCBI's taxonomy places the organism in Eukaryota, Metazoa, Arthropoda, Branchiopoda, Diplostraca, Daphniidae.